This is a long non-coding RNA of Hydra vulgaris (swiftwater hydra), 756 nucleotides long. RefSeq lists it as uncharacterized. NCBI's taxonomy places the organism in Eukaryota, Metazoa, Cnidaria, Hydrozoa, Anthoathecata, Hydridae. The record is from RefSeq and is a predicted model, not a curated record.
UUUAUUAUUUUUUAGCUAAUGUUCCUUGUGCACAUCAUUGUACGCAUGUUGUUACGUGGUUUGAGAAAUUAUUUAAAGAAAUACAACAAAUGCGUGCAGAACAGACUGUGAUAAAUCAUCGUUUAGAUCAACAAUGUCAAAAUGAGCAUCAGCAUGUAGAUAGCAAUUUUUUGAAUUGUCUUCCACUUGAGAGUGAAGUUGAUUUUGAACGAUUCGGUAUAGAGAUAGAUAGUUACAAUGGAAAACGAACUUCUUUGAUACGUUAUUUGCGGAAGAGGUCAGACUCAAAUGUCAACAAGACCAUACUAAAUAUAUUGAGAAGUUUAUUAAAGGACAAUGUUCUUAGUUGUUAUUCUAGAGAUGGGAAACGCGGAAAAAAAUUUUUUCUUCAGCAAAGGGAAACUUUGUUUCCAUAAUUCAAGAUGUUGUUUUGAAAGUUCAUAAAGGUGUGUCGUUGGUCCAAAUAAAUGUUGCGAUUUUGGAACAAUUAAAGAGACUUAAUCAAAGAAAUCGAAAUUCUAAGUCUACAACAGCUGAAGAAACUACACCUGAAAUUCCAGAGUUUGAUUAAAAACCAAUUAUUUUAUUAAUUUUAAAAUAAAUUGUUAAAAAAUAAAGUCUUUUUUAUUGUUGAGAAGACUUAUAAGUUUGAAAGAUCCUGCUUACACACUUUGGUUAGCACUAUGACAUGUUACUUAUUUAGGGAUAGGCGAGGGCUUCAGUACAUACACUGACUGAUUUAGGGAGAACUCGCAA